Molecule: long non-coding RNA, 301 nt
Filed under: Volvox carteri
Lineage: Eukaryota; Viridiplantae; Chlorophyta; Chlorophyceae; Chlamydomonadales; Volvocaceae
Description: long non-coding RNA (VCAR_LNC000625)
Source: RNAcentral
GAAAUAUGAGGAGUUAUCAUGGCCUUCGGAGUGGUGUUGUGGUGAUGCAGGAAGGAGGAUAGGAGGUCACAUUGACGUAGCUGUCACUGAUCCGAACCCUGCUGAGCUUUUGCUGAGUAAUACUUUCACUGAAGCCAUUCCAGGAGCAAAUGCAAAUGAGUGGCGCAGAGUGAUGGUCGAGGAGAUUGCUGCAUUAGCAGCUAACGGCACUUGUGAGCCACGUGCACAGUUUCAUGAUGUGCAUGUGCUACUGUCCCGGUGGGUGCACAAAUUGGAAACACUGGAAAAUGACAGUGUCAAG